Ribosomal RNA from Erigeron canadensis, 119 nucleotides. Lineage: Eukaryota; Viridiplantae; Streptophyta; Magnoliopsida; Asterales; Asteraceae. The record is from RefSeq and is a predicted model, not a curated record.
GGUUGCGAUCAUACCAGCACUAAUGCACCGGAUCUCAUCAGAACUCCACAGUUAAACGUUUUUGGGCGAGAGUAGUACUAGAUAGGGUGACCCUCUUAGAAGUCCUCGUGUUGCAACCC